UGGGGAAUAUUGCACAAUGGAGGGAACUCUGAUGCAGCGACGCCGCGUGAACGAAGAAGGCUUUCGAGUCGUAAAGUUCUUUUAUAUGGGAAGAUAAUGACGGUACCAUAAGAAAAAGCCCCGGCUAACUACGUGCCAGCAGCCGCGGUAAUACGUAGGGGGCUAGCGUUGUCCGGAAUCACUGGGCGUAAAGGGUUCGCAGGCGGAAAUGCAAGUCAGGUGUAAAAGGCAGUAGCUUAACUACUGUAAGCAUUUGAAACUGCAUAUCUUGAGAAGAGUAGAGGUAAGUGGGAUUUUUAGUGUAGCGGUGAAAUGCGUAGAUAUUAAAAAGAAUACCGGUGGCGAAGGCGGCUUACUGGGCUCAUUCUGACGCUGAGGAACGAAAGCGUGGGUAGCAAACAGG
This 403-nucleotide ribosomal RNA is filed under the name bacterium. RNAcentral's name for it is "partial 16S ribosomal RNA". It matches the Rfam family "Bacterial small subunit ribosomal RNA", at positions 355 to 776 of the family's 1533-position model. The record is from RNAcentral.